AGUCGACGAUGAUCUCCAGCUUGCUGGGGGGAUUAGUGGCGAACGGGUGAGUAACACGUGAGUAACCUGCCCUUGACUCUGGGAUAAGCCUGGGAAACUGGGUCUAAUACUGGAUACGACCUUCCCACGCAUGUGGUGUUGGUGGAAAGCUUUUGUGGUUUUGGAUGGACUCGCGGCCUAUCAGCUUGUUGGUGGGGUAAUGGCCUACCAAGGCGACGACGGGUAGCCGGCCUGAGAGGGUGGACGGCCACACUGGGACUGAGACACGGCCCAGACUCCUACGGGAGGCAGCAGUGGGGAAUAUUGCACAAUGGGCGCAAGCCUGAUGCAGCGACGCCGCGUGAGGGAUGAAGGCCUUCGGGUUGUAAACCUCUUUCAGUAGGGAAGAAGCGAAAGUGACGGUACCUGCAGAAGAAGCGCCGGCUAACUACGUGCCAGCAGCCGCGGUAAUACGUAGGGCGCAAGCGUUAUCCGGAAUUAUUGGGCGUAAAGAGCUCGUAGGCGGUUUGUCGCGUCUGCCGUGAAAGUCCGGGGCUUAACUCCGGAUCUGCGGUGGGUACGGGCAGACUUGAGUGAUGUAGGGGAGACUGGAAUUCCUGGUGUAGCGGUGA
RNAcentral lists this ribosomal RNA (611 nucleotides) under Arthrobacter subterraneus. Its description in RNAcentral is "bacterial SSU rRNA". It matches the Rfam family "Bacterial small subunit ribosomal RNA", at positions 60 to 684 of the family's 1533-position model. Lineage: Bacteria; Bacillati; Actinomycetota; Actinomycetes; Micrococcales; Micrococcaceae. The record is from RNAcentral.